This is a long non-coding RNA of Oncorhynchus tshawytscha (Chinook salmon), 327 nucleotides long. NCBI's taxonomy places the organism in Eukaryota, Metazoa, Chordata, Actinopteri, Salmoniformes, Salmonidae. The record is from Ensembl.
GUACAGGUUCAGUAGUGAUAGGACAGGUUCAGUAGUGGUAGGACAGGUUCAGUAGUGAUAGGACAGGUUCAGUAGUGGUAGGACAGGUUCAGUAGUGGUAGGACAGGUUCAGUAGUGGUAGGACAGGUUCAGUAGUGGUAGGACAGGUUCAGUAGUGGUAGGACAGGUUUGGUAGUGGUAGGACAGGUUCAUUAAUGUUUAGCCAUCUGAAAGGAACCCAAACCGUUGCUGGCAGCAGUGCAGUUGCAUUGUGAAUUCACAUGAAAUGUUAUCAAUUUUUCUUAUCAUUAAAAAAUUAAGAAAUGGCUGUUUAAAUGUUAAGAAAAU